AAACGAUGCCGAUGUCGUGGUGCCGAAUAAUGGCGACGCGAAAGAGAAAUCGAGUAGGGCCCUGGGGAGAGUACACGCGCAAGCGAGAAAUUUAAAGGAAAUUGACGGAAGAACACCACAAGGAGUGGAGUGUGCGGCUUAAUUUGACUCAACGCGGGACAACUUACCGGGCCCGACGACCGUAUGAGUGUAACACACGAUAGGUCGAAGAGUGGUGCAUGGCCGUUAACGACGAGUGGAGUGAUCUUUGGGUUAAGUCCGUAAAUUAGUGAGACCUCAGCCGUAAGGGACAGGUGCGCAAAGCACAGGAAGGAUGGGUCAAGGACAGGUCAGUGAUGCCCUUAGAUGGUCCGGGCUGCACGCGCACUACAGUGGUCGCCGAAAUAAAUUUAUAGAUUUAAAGGCGAUCGAGAGGGAAUGAGCUUUGUAAGAGGCUCAGGAACGAGGAAUUGCUAGUAAUCGCGGACUCAUUAAGACGCGAUGAAUACGUCCCUGUUCUUUGUACACACCGCCCGUCGUUAUCGAAGAUGAAGACAGGCGCGAACGAUCUACCAGAAAGUGAGCGCAGGUCUUUAGAUCUGAUACAAGUCGUAACAAGGUAGCUGUAGGAGAACCUGUAGCUG
RNAcentral lists this ribosomal RNA (623 nucleotides) under Loma sp. SVB-PE3. RNAcentral's name for it is "SSU rRNA". It matches the Rfam family "Microsporidia small subunit ribosomal RNA", at positions 687 to 1303 of the family's 1311-position model. The record is from RNAcentral. Lineage: Eukaryota; Fungi; Microsporidia; Glugeidae.